CACUGGGGAUAGGGUGAGGAGGUCCCAGAGAUAAGGCCGCUAUGGUAAUGGCAUUGGCGAGGGUUGCGGAUGAGUGACAGCUUGGGAGCAAGGAUUGGGGCAUGGAAAAUGACUGG
This 116-nucleotide non-coding RNA is filed under the name Eutreptiella gymnastica. Lineage: Eukaryota; Euglenozoa; Euglenophyceae; Eutreptiales; Eutreptiaceae. The record is from RNAcentral.